CCCGCGAUAGCUCAGUUGGCAGAGCGGAGGACUGUAGUGGUAAACUGGCAUCCUUAGGUCACUGGUUCAAUUCCGGUUCGCGGGA
RNAcentral lists this transfer RNA (85 nucleotides) under Dreissena polymorpha. It matches the Rfam family "tRNA". Rfam says of the family: Transfer RNA (tRNA) molecules are approximately 80 nucleotides in length. Their secondary structure includes four short double-helical elements and three loops (D, anti-codon, and T loops). Further hydrogen bonds mediate the characteristic L-shaped molecular structure. tRNAs have two regions of fundamental functional importance: the anti-codon, which is responsible for specific mRNA codon recognition, and the 3' end, to which the tRNAs corresponding amino acid is attached (by aminoacyl-tRNA synthetases). tRNAs cope with the degeneracy of the genetic code in two manners: having more than one tRNA (with a specific anti-codon) for a particular amino acid; and 'wobble' base-pairing, i.e. permitting non-standard base-pairing at the 3rd anti-codon position. Lineage: Eukaryota; Metazoa; Mollusca; Bivalvia; Myida; Dreissenidae. The record is from Rfam by way of RNAcentral.